Molecule: non-coding RNA, 558 nt
Filed under: Pongo abelii (Sumatran orangutan)
Lineage: Eukaryota; Metazoa; Chordata; Mammalia; Primates; Hominidae
Source: RNAcentral
GUUGCCUCCGGGGCGGCGAGUCUGAGCUCCAGGCCCGGAACACCCCUCCCCCACCCGAGACUCCGGCUCUAAAUCUGCUUUCUCCCGGUCCCUCCGUUCCUUGAAAGUCCGGAUUCUCCUUCCAAACUGCCCUUGGAUCCAGAGACCCAGAUCCGAACACAUCGCUCAAAGACGACAAUGCUCCGAUCUAGUUCGGGAGACUACGUAUCCUAAUUUUGAUACUUCCUCCCACUUCUCCUAUUCUCCUGACUUUCAAACGCCCCUGGACUUCACCUCCAAACUCGCUGUCCGGCUCCAAGACCCGAACAUUGAACUCUUCCCGGCAACCCCCCUUCCCCAGCCAAACACGAUAAAGCCCCGAAUUCAACCCGUCCGGAAGACCCAAGUGGAAUCGAAUCUCCAGGUUCCCUGUCUCAAAAGUUCCUCCCCUCUGUUCUCUCGCUUCUUCAAACGCCCAACGUCCCAGCUUCAAACUCCCUCCACUUGAAAAUACUGCCCCAACAACCUCGCCUCCCCUCCUGGGUCUCGAACUCAGUCUCAGGUCCCCAGACCCUCCCU